AAUGGCAAACUUAUUCUUCCAGAGAGCAACGACUGCUAGGGUUCACCGUAUUCUUCUCUCUUUGUUAUCUAAACCGAUGUUCGAGUACCCGGGAGAGUUCGGUGAGAUGAAUCUUUAUGGCGAGUCUCUGGAUCGAGAAGAUUUCGUGACGUUCUGUCUGAGUCUCUUCUUUCUAACCGUUACGAGAUGCGUUGAUUGAAUGGUGUUGAUGACGUUAUUUACUCCAUCAACCAAGUCCAAUUAAAGAUUCUUCAUUCAAUUCAUCUUCUACACAAAGCGGUGGAAAUCCAGCUAUAUAAAUGUGAGCCUUCAUCGUUGAACAUCAUCCUCACAAAAACUUUUUCCGAAGAAAAUUUGAGUUAAGAUUUUUUUUUCUUUAUUAAUUUAGAAAGCUUAAGUUUAGAUGAUUUUUGUUUUGUUUAUUGAUUUAGCAAGCUUGAGUUUAGAUCAUGUUAGAUGAUUUUGUUUUCGUUUAAUGAUUUUGUUUUCGUUUGUUGGUAUGAUGUGGUAGGGAGCAGAGUUUGAUGAUAUUCAGCAGAUGAGGAAUACUCAUGAUUAUUUCAUUAAGUUUGUUGGAAGCAUGGCAUCGACUUUUUUGGACAUAAAGACGUAGCGUGCAGUUCAACUGAUACUCUCAAGUGGUGUGCAUAACCAUUCAUGAGGGCAUCAACUUUAGAGGAGACAUGAAUGUAUAGUUACCAACUAUUAGUUGGGGAUCCCAGCUUUGUUCAAUACCAAUUCCUAAGAACCUUUUUCAAAGACUUCGAAGCUUCAGGGUUUCAUAAAAACGGGUCAACUCGGAGCUCACGUGGGACAAGGUCUUGAGCAGAGUAAGAAGCAUUUCUCAGACGAGUUUAACCAAUUUUGUGACCGGACAAUGAGUGACGUCGUUUGGAUGCUUUGCUGGAACAGAGUCUGGCCUGAAACGCUUUUACAGGCGUUUGUUGGGGGCGUCGAAAAGUGUUUGGUUAAGUCGGUGAACCCGGGCUUGCAAAUCUUUCGCGUGGAGAAAGACUACCGGUUUGAUCUGGUUUAUAUGGAAGCAACUGGCGGUGACCGGUUUAAGGAUCUGAUUUGAGCUAUGAUUCAACCUGGAAUUUAUGUGUACAGUAGUGUGGUUAAGUGCAAGGUAGUUUGCAAACAUUUCUGAGGAAGAAGUACUAGAAGACGAUAUGGUCAAGUUAAGUGAUAAAAACGACAAGAGUUUAAGCCCAUUGGAAGGUUAAUUGCAUUAGUUAAGGAGUUAUUAAAUUGUGGGUUUUGAUUAGAAUUGGAAUGACUUUUGUAAGUAAAUAAUUGAAAACUGGCGAUGGCGUUUACAGUGAAAUGUAAAAUUGAUAUGUGAAUUUUUUUAUAUAAAUACCUUUCCACCUAA
Molecule: long non-coding RNA, 1375 nt
Organism: Brassica napus (rape)
Lineage: Eukaryota; Viridiplantae; Streptophyta; Magnoliopsida; Brassicales; Brassicaceae
Exons: 3
Source: RefSeq, a predicted model, not a curated record